RNAcentral lists this ribosomal RNA (465 nucleotides) under uncultured bacterium. Its description in RNAcentral is "bacterial SSU rRNA". It matches the Rfam family "Bacterial small subunit ribosomal RNA", at positions 330 to 792 of the family's 1533-position model. The record is from RNAcentral.
UCCAGACUCCUACGGGAGGCAGCAGUGAGGAAUAUUGGUCAAUGGGCGCGAGCCUGAACCAGCCAAGUCGCGUGAGGGAAGACGGUCCUAUGGAUUGUAAACCUCUUUUGUCGGGGAGCAAAUUCCGUUACGUGUAACGGAGUCGAGAGUACCCGAAGAAAAAGCAUCGGCUAACUCCGUGCCAGCAGCCGCGGUAAUACGGAGGAUGCGAGCGUUAUCCGGAUUUAUUGGGUUUAAAGGGUGCGCAGGCGGAUUUUUAAGUCAGCGGUCAAAUCGUGGGGCUCAACCCCAUCCAGCCGUUGAAACUGGGGAUCUAGAGUGUGCGAGAGGUAUGCGGAAUGCGUGGUGUAGCGGUGAAAUGCAUAGAUAUCACGCAGAACCCCGAUUGCGAAGGCAGCAUACCGGUGCACAACUGACGCUCAGGCACGAAAGCGUGGGUAUCGAACAGGAUUAGAUCCCCGAGUA